GCAGCUACACAUGCAGUCGAGCGGUAGCACAGAGAGCUUGCUCUCGGGUGACGAGCGGCGGACGGGUGAGUAAUGUCUGGGAAACUGCCUGAUGGAGGGGGAUAACUACUGGAAACGGUAGCUAAUACCGCAUAAUGUCGCAAGACCAAAGUGGGGGACCUUCGGGCCUCAUGCCAUCAGAUGUGCCCAGAUGGGAUUAGCUAGUAGGUGGGGUAACGGCUCACCUAGGCGACGAUCCCUAGCUGGUCUGAGAGGAUGACCAGCCACACUGGAACUGAGACACGGUCCAGACUCCUACGGGAGGCAGCAGUGGGGAAUAUUGCACAAUGGGCGCAAGCCUGAUGCAGCCAUGCCGCGUGUGUGAAGAAGGCCUUCGGGUUGUAAAGCACUUUCAGCGGGGAGGAAGGCGGUGAGGUUAAUAACCUUAUCGAUUGACGUUACCCGCAGAAGAAGCACCGGCUAACUCCGUGCCAGCAGCCGCGGUAAUACGGAGGGUGCAAGCGUUAAUCGGAAUUACUGGGCGUAAAGCGCACGCAGGCGGUCUGUCAAGUCGGAUGUGAAAUCCCCGGGCUCAACCUGGGAACUGCAUUCGAAACUGGCAGGCUAGAGUCUUGUAGAGGGGGGUAGAAUUCCAGGUGUAGCGGUGAAAUGCGUAGAGAUCUGGAGGAAUACCGGUGGCGAAGGCGGCCCCCUGGACAAAGACUGACGCUCAGGUGCGAAAGCGUGGGGAGCAAACAGGAUUAGAUACCCUGGUAGUCCACGCCGUAAACGAUGUCGAUUUGGAGGUUGUGCCCUUGAGGCGUGGCUUCCGGAGCUAACGCGUUAAAUCGACCGCCUGGGGAGUACGGCCGCAAGGUUAAAACUCAAAUGAAUUGACGGGGGCCCGCACAAGCGGUGGAGCAUGUGGUUUAAUUCGAUGCAACGCGAAGAACCUUACCUGGUCUUGACAUCCACAGAACUUACCAGAGAUGGAUUGGUGCCUUCGGGAACUGUGAGACAGGUGCUGCAUGGCUGUCGUCAGCUCGUGUUGUGAAAUGUUGGGUUAAGUCCCGCAACGAGCGCAACCCUUAUCCUUUGUUGCCAGCGGUUCGGCCGGGAACUCAAAGGAGACUGCCAGUGAUAAACUGGAGGAAGGUGGGGAUGACGUCAAGUCAUCAUGGCCCUUACGACCAGGGCUACACACGUGCUACAAUGGCAUAUACAAAGAGAAGCGACCUCGCGAGAGCAAGCGGACCUCAUAAAGUAUGUCGUAGUCCGGAUUGGAGUCUGCAACUCGACUCCAUGAAGUCGGAAUCGCUAGUAAUCGUAGAUCAGAAUGCUACGGUGAAUACGUUCCCGGGCCUUGUACACACCGCCCGUCACACCAUGGGAGUGGGUUGCAAAAGAAGUAGGUAGCUUAACCUUCGGAGGCGCUACCACUUGAUCA
This 1426-nucleotide ribosomal RNA is filed under the name Klebsiella pneumoniae subsp. pneumoniae. Its description in RNAcentral is "bacterial SSU rRNA". It matches the Rfam family "Bacterial small subunit ribosomal RNA". The record is from RNAcentral. Lineage: Bacteria; Pseudomonadati; Pseudomonadota; Gammaproteobacteria; Enterobacterales; Enterobacteriaceae.